UAACACCUGGAAACAGAUGCUAAUACCGGAUAACAACAGAUGAUGCCUAUCAACUGUUUAAAAGAUGGUUCUGCUAUCACUCUUGGAUGGACCUGCGGUGCAUUAGCUAGUUGGUAGGGUAACGGCCUACCAAGGCGAUGAUGCAUAGCCGAGUUGAGAGACUGAUCGGCCACAUUGGGACUGAGACACGGCCCAAACUCCUACGGGAGGCAGCAGGU
This 218-nucleotide ribosomal RNA is filed under the name uncultured Lactobacillus sp. Its description in RNAcentral is "partial 16S ribosomal RNA". It matches the Rfam family "Bacterial small subunit ribosomal RNA", at positions 144 to 354 of the family's 1533-position model. The record is from RNAcentral. Lineage: Bacteria; Bacillati; Bacillota; Bacilli; Lactobacillales; Lactobacillaceae.